Pangasianodon gigas (Mekong giant catfish) is the source of this 72-nucleotide non-coding RNA. Lineage: Eukaryota; Metazoa; Chordata; Actinopteri; Siluriformes; Pangasiidae. The record is from the annotation of a GenBank genome assembly.
CCUGGUGCUCUAGUGGCUAAGGAUCCUGCACUCUCACUGCUGCGGCCCAGGAUCAAUUCCCGGAACCCAGUA